RNAcentral lists this non-coding RNA (24 nucleotides) under Arabidopsis thaliana (thale cress). Lineage: Eukaryota; Viridiplantae; Streptophyta; Magnoliopsida; Brassicales; Brassicaceae. The record is from RNAcentral.
AUUCCACUUCUGGUCCUCGUUAGG